Molecule: non-coding RNA, 1336 nt
Organism: Rattus norvegicus (Norway rat)
Lineage: Eukaryota; Metazoa; Chordata; Mammalia; Rodentia; Muridae
Source: RefSeq, a predicted model, not a curated record
CAGCAACCGUUGAAGUCAGUUCCCCAGAGGACCAUUGCCCUGCGACCACCCAGCGGACUGGAGGGGCAAGGCCAGCCUGACAUAAUCAGGCUUGGGACCCACCAUGAAGCCUGCAUCCACCAAGCCUGGGUCCAGACUCUCAACUUCACAGUCAAAGGUGCCUGCUGCCUCUGCCGCACCUCACCACAGACCUUCAGUACCAGGAACGCCAAAGAGCCAGAGACCUUCAGUACCCAGACCACCAUCUCACCAGGGACCUUCAGUACCCGGAACGCCAACCAGCCAGGGACCUUCAGUACCUGGAACACCAACAUAUCUGCGACCUUCAGUACCGGGAACACCAAUCAGUCAGGGACCUUCAGUACCGGGAACACCAAUCAGCCAGGGAUCUUCAGUACCGGGAACACCGAUCAGCCAGGGACCUUCAGUACCAGGAACACCAUCCCGCCAGCGAUCUUUAGUACGCUCCACACCAUCCAGCUACAGACCCACAGUACGCUCCACACCAUCCAGCUACCGACCCACAGUACGCUCCACACCAUCCAGCUACCGACCCACAGUACGCUCCACACCAUCCAGCUACCGACCCACAGUACGCUCCACACCAUCCAGCUACCGACCCACAGUACGCUCCACACCAUCCAGCCAGCGACCCUCAGUACACUCCAUACCAUCCACUAAGUCCUUGCAGUCAGUGCACAGAGAUCACACUGCGGACAAAUUACCAAGGAAACACACCAAACAUGAGAAAGUGCGGCCGACUCGACCUGCCCCAGUGUCUGAGAAAAUCAAGAUACCGGAAACCGUCAAAAUACAGGAUAAGGACAGGGUCUCAAAAAGAUUCAGAGAUGGCUUCUGUAAUUUUUGCUGCUCAGCCAAUGGGAUGUUGAAGGCCUUGAGGAUGUGCAUUACUGCAGCAUCGGUAUUUUGUUUCGUCAUUGGUGGCGCCCAGGACCUGUUUGUAGCCAUCAUGAUUCAGGAAACCUGCAUCGUCUUAUUUUUUAUUAUAAUCUAUUUGAUAGCCCUUCAACACUUCCUGACCUGUAUCCACUGGCCUCUGCUUGUCUCAGCAUGUUUUCCAGGGUAGCCUUGAGCUCACUCUGUGCCACAAGCACAUCUGGAACUUGAGAUCUUCCCGAGCAGCUGGAAUCAUAGGAUCUGAUCAACACUCUCAUUUCAAUGGCAUUUCUUGGAAUAGUUAGCAUAAUAACCAUGACGACAGAAAACAGUGAAAAGAAUCUGACUUUUAUUGGAGGGGUCCUGUGCUUCUCGGCAGCAGUCCUGUGUGUCAUCGAUGCAUUGUUGGUUACCGAAAAGAUGAGGCACAAAGCAAAAA